AAUUCUCAAUCUCUUUGGCUUUUGCACAAAAGCUGGAUCAGGUUUGGAUUGUGGAAGUUUGCAGGCUUUCCAAGUCAGCUCUUCUCAAAUGCAUUAGCAAGAUCAUGUGUGCUUAUGAUUGUCUUGUGGUAUGAUAAUUAUCUACACCGCUUGAGGAUCAGCUUCCUUUGCAGGAAGGAUCUUGCUUCUAACGGUCUCAAUUUUGAGACGCAACUGAUCUU
Molecule: unclassified non-coding RNA, 221 nt
Filed under: uncultured Agaricales
Lineage: Eukaryota; Fungi; Basidiomycota; Agaricomycetes; Agaricales
Description: sequence contains ITS2
Source: RNAcentral